This 308-nucleotide ribosomal RNA is filed under the name Togepsylla matsumurana. RNAcentral's name for it is "partial 12S ribosomal RNA". The record is from RNAcentral. Lineage: Eukaryota; Metazoa; Arthropoda; Insecta; Hemiptera; Aphalaridae.
AAGUAGUAUUAGAUAAGAUCUUGAAACUUAAGAAAUUUGGCGGUAUUUUAUCUUUUUAGAGGAAUCUGUUUAUUAAUUGAUAAUCCACGAUUUAAUUUACUUUUAUUUUAAAUUUGUAUACCGCUGUCAUGAAUAUAUUAAUAAAUCUAUUUUCGUAAAUUAUAUUAAUUUAAUGUUAAGUCAAGGUGCAGUAUAUAAAGAUUAAAUGGAUUACAUUAUAAAUUAUGAAUGAUAAUUAAAUUAAUUUGAAAAAGAAUUUAAAAGUAAAAUAGUAAAAAUAAUAUAAUGAAGAAAGAUUCUAAAAUAUG